UACGGAGGAUCCGAGCGUUAUCCGGAUUUAUUGGGUUUAAAGGGUGCUCAGGCGGGAGAUUAAGUCGGCGGUGAAAUUUUGCAGCUCAACUGUAAAAGUGCCUUCGAAACUGGUUUCCUUGAGUGUGGAUGAGGUAGGCGGAAUUUGUGGUGUAGCGGUGAAAUGCAUAGAUAUCACGAGGAACUCCGAUUGCGUAGGCAGCUUACUAAACCAUAACUGACGCUCAAGCACGAAGGCGUGGGGAUCAAACAGGAUUAGAUACCCUGGUAGU
RNAcentral lists this ribosomal RNA (271 nucleotides) under uncultured prokaryote. RNAcentral's name for it is "partial 16S ribosomal RNA". It matches the Rfam family "Bacterial small subunit ribosomal RNA", at positions 524 to 794 of the family's 1533-position model. The record is from RNAcentral.